GACGAAGGGGGCUAGCGUUGUUCGGAAUUACUGGGCGUAAAGCGCGUGUAGGCGGUUGUCCAAGUUGGAUGUGAAAGCCUUGAGCUUAACUCGAGAAAUGCAUUCAGGACUGGAUGACUAGAGGACCGGAGAGGAUAGUGGAAUUCCCAGUGUAGUGGUGAAAUACGUAGAGAUUGGGAAGAACACCAGUGGCGAAGGCGGCUAUCUGGACGGUUUCUGACGCUAAGACGCGAAAGCGUGGGGAGCAAACAGG
RNAcentral lists this ribosomal RNA (253 nucleotides) under uncultured bacterium. Its description in RNAcentral is "partial 16S ribosomal RNA". It matches the Rfam family "Bacterial small subunit ribosomal RNA", at positions 524 to 776 of the family's 1533-position model. The record is from RNAcentral.